This 87-nucleotide transfer RNA is filed under the name Candidatus Berkelbacteria bacterium CG11_big_fil_rev_8_21_14_0_20_42_15. Its description in RNAcentral is "tRNA-Leu". It matches the Rfam family "tRNA". Rfam says of the family: Transfer RNA (tRNA) molecules are approximately 80 nucleotides in length. Their secondary structure includes four short double-helical elements and three loops (D, anti-codon, and T loops). Lineage: Bacteria; Candidatus Berkelbacteria. The record is from RNAcentral.
GCCGCGGUGGCGGAAUUGGUAGACGCACAGGACUCAAAAUCCUGCGAUAGCAAUAUCAUGAGAGUUCGACUCUCUCUCGCGGCACCA